AUGUACCGUGCGCUCACACAUUCUGAGGUACCAGUGAGUAAUAACAAGAAAAUUUGGAAGUCUAAGAUUCCACUAAAAGUGGAAAAUUUCAUGUGGUACCUUCGUAGGGGAGUUGUGUUAAGCAAAGACAACCUCGCAGGAUGCAACUGGCAAGGGAGUUAGAGGUGUUGUUUUUGUACUCAUGACAAGACAAUCAAACACCUUUUUUUCAAUGCAAGUUUGCACGUUCUACGUGGUCAGUCAUCAAAAUAG
Molecule: ribosomal RNA, 252 nt
Filed under: Triticum aestivum (bread wheat)
Lineage: Eukaryota; Viridiplantae; Streptophyta; Magnoliopsida; Poales; Poaceae
Description: partial small subunit ribosomal RNA
Source: RNAcentral